GAUCAUGGCUCAGAACGAACGCUGGCGGCGUGCCUAACACAUGCAAGUCGAACGAGAAAGGGCUUCGGCCCGAGUACAGUGGCGAACGGGUGAGUAGCGCGUGGGUAAUCUACCCCCGGGCGGGGGAUAACCCUCCGAAAGGAGGGCUAAUACCGCAUAAGACCACUCCCUUGCGAGGGAGUGGGAAAAGGUGGGGAUCUUCGGACCUGCCACCUGGGGAUGAGCCCGCGUACCAUCAGGUAGUUGGCGGGGUAAAAGCCCACCAAGCCUACGACGGAUAGCUGGUCUGAGAGGAUGAUCAGCCACAUUGGAACUGAGACACGGUCCAGACUCCUACGGGAGGC
RNAcentral lists this ribosomal RNA (344 nucleotides) under uncultured bacterium. Its description in RNAcentral is "bacterial SSU rRNA". It matches the Rfam family "Bacterial small subunit ribosomal RNA", at positions 15 to 349 of the family's 1533-position model. The record is from RNAcentral.